AUUGUAUACUUUUAGACUCUGAGCAAAUAAAUUACUCAAACAUAAACUAGAAAAAGACAAAAACGAUUUAAAACCUACAAAUUAGAAGAUGGAAGUGGAAACAAUGCUGUUGACCGAUUCGUUACGACCGCGUAAUCUUUUUGCAUAAGUCAGCUGCAUGACACUUUUUGAACUAAGUUUGGAACGAGUCCCCGGAACAGCUGUACGGAACAGUUGCUACGAAUAACCCGAUACUGUUCAUGAAAGAUCGUCUGGCAUUAUUGAAAUCUAUUGGCAAGAACUAAUGAAACGAGACAUCGACCUCCUUUUUUUAUUGAUGGAGGAUAGUCGGAGCGAGUAAGAAGAGGCUCCGGUCCACAUCUGGUGCGAGGUUACCCUGCGAA
This is a long non-coding RNA of Bombyx mori (domestic silkworm), 383 nucleotides long. RefSeq lists it as uncharacterized. The record is from RefSeq and is a predicted model, not a curated record. Lineage: Eukaryota; Metazoa; Arthropoda; Insecta; Lepidoptera; Bombycidae. The transcript is spliced from 3 exons.